RNAcentral lists this ribosomal RNA (253 nucleotides) under uncultured bacterium. Its description in RNAcentral is "partial 16S ribosomal RNA". It matches the Rfam family "Bacterial small subunit ribosomal RNA", at positions 524 to 776 of the family's 1533-position model. The record is from RNAcentral.
UACGUAGGGGGCGAGCGUUGUCCGGAUUUACUGGGCGUAAAGAGCGCGUAGGCGGAAAUCUAAGCGUGGCCUGAAAGCCCCCGGCUCAACCGGGGAGUGCGGCUGCGAACUGGGUUUCUUGAGGACGAUAGAGGAGAGUGGAAUUCCUGGUGUAGCGGUGAAAUGCGUAGAUAUCAGGAGGAACACCCGAGGCGAAGGCGGCUCUCUGGGUCGUACCUGACGCUGAGACGCGAAAGCGUGGGGAGCAAACAGG